GCCUCGAUGGUGGAAUUGGUUUACACAUCGCACUUAAAAUGCGCCGGCCCUAGGCCUUGCGAGUUCGAGUCUCGCUCGAGGCACCA
Molecule: transfer RNA, 86 nt
Filed under: Pseudomonas putida
Lineage: Bacteria; Pseudomonadati; Pseudomonadota; Gammaproteobacteria; Pseudomonadales; Pseudomonadaceae
Description: tRNA-Leu
Rfam family: tRNA
About the family: Transfer RNA (tRNA) molecules are approximately 80 nucleotides in length. Their secondary structure includes four short double-helical elements and three loops (D, anti-codon, and T loops).
Source: RNAcentral